Onychostoma macrolepis is the source of this 1393-nucleotide long non-coding RNA. RefSeq lists it as uncharacterized. Lineage: Eukaryota; Metazoa; Chordata; Actinopteri; Cypriniformes; Cyprinidae. The record is from RefSeq and is a predicted model, not a curated record. The transcript has 4 exons.
UUCAAAAAGCAGUUUCGCCCAUUUUAAAACACAUAGCCCCUCUUUAUAUGUACAGUAUAUAUUUUUUGCUAUUGAAUCGAUUUAGAGUUUGAAUCAAUCGGAGCAUUCCAUGACUCACUCAACUGAAUCGGUUUGCCUGUUUCUCUGCUUUUUGCGGCUUUAGCCAUGUCUAUAUGACACUGUCAGUAUUACUGGCUAAAGCUAGUUUUAUAACAUUAUCUGAAAUUAGCGAAAAAGGCUGAUGUUUACAAAUAGACAUACAACACAAAUCUACGAACAUAUUCAGGUGAGGUGCCGUGGUGGUACAGGUGGCUUUUUCCGAUCGGGAGGCGGCGGACGGACCCCUUCCUCAAGCUGCAUGAGACGGGCCACAUCUGGAGGGAUGUGCUCAGGUUUGCCCCCUGGUGGCGGGGACUGGAAAUUACCAUUGUUCUGCUGACAGUUCGGCAAACCCUGAUAUGGGCCAUGAUUCCCGUGGCCAGAGCAUCUCCCAUCACAUUGACCAUGGUGCGGAAUCGGUCUCUGAAGAGGGCCCAAUCAACAGCGAUAAUGAGAGUAAUGUCAUCAGUGGGCAGUCCGACAGAUGUCAACACUAUUACCAUGGUGACCAGGCCGGCCUGUGGGAUCCCAGCAGCACCGAUGCUCGCUGCUGUUGCUGUAAUACUGGGAAACAUGGAAAACUAAUCAUUGCACAGCAAGCAGAAUGUUACGAAGGACAAACAACCUCUGUCGCAUCUAGAAUUCACGAUGUAAUUUUCAUUUGAGAAGAGCUUUUUCUUUAAAAAGCUAAUUUAGGUUGGCAGAUCAGGCUGGAUACAUUUGCAAAAAAUGCAUAUGCAUCUCAUGCACCCUCGCAGGUAUAGAAGAACAUCAGUAUUGUAAGCUUGUUUGGGGUUUAAUGCGCGCUCCUUUCUGAUGCUGCAUAAAUGUGCAGUGAAUUCUGUAAACUGUUAAUACAGACCUUACAUGCUGCUGCUGCAAUGCUUACAUGUGCUAAGUGAAUUCUGUAACCUGUUAAUAUAAGCACUGUAAUAAAUGCAUUCUGCUGUUGCACUGCACAGGUGUGCAGAGUAAAUUCUGAAAUAGAUGUCGCAAUAAAUGCAUGCAGCAAAUACACUGCUUACAUGGGCUGAGUCAAUUCUGGAACCUAUUAAUAUAGGUGUUGCAUUAAAUGCAUGCUGCUGUUGCACUGUGUAAAUGUGCAGUAAAUUCUGUUACCUGUUAAUAUAGGUGUCUCAGUAAGUGCAUGCUACUACUGCCCUGCCUAAGUGUGUUGAGUGAAUUUUGAAACUUGUUAUGAUAAGCCCCACUAUAAAUGCAUGCUGCUUUUGGACUGUUUACAUUUGCUGAGAGAAUUCUCUAGCCUGUCAUUAAAGCCGUUGCAAUAAAUGCA